RNAcentral lists this non-coding RNA (176 nucleotides) under Fusobacterium varium. The record is from RNAcentral. Lineage: Bacteria; Fusobacteriati; Fusobacteriota; Fusobacteriia; Fusobacteriales; Fusobacteriaceae.
GAAACAAAAAGAUAAUUAGGUGCAAACAAGCUUAAUAGAGGAAGAGGGGUGAGAAUCCCCCACAGCGCAAGCUGCUGUAUAGUGGACGAAAUCACAAAGAUGUCACUGGGAAACUGGGAAGGCGUGAGAGUAGGAUGAAGCUGAGUCAGAAGACUUACCAAUUAAUAUAUAUGAGA